GACGAACGCUGGCGGCGUGCCUAAUACAUGCCAGUAGAACGCUGAAGGAGGAGCUUGCUUCUCCGGAUGAGUUGCGAACGGGUGAGUAGCGCGUAGGUAACCUGCCUGGUAGCGGGGGAUAACUAUUGGAAACGAUAGCUAAUACCGCAUAACAGUAGAUGUUGCAUGACAUUUGCUUAAAAGGUGCAAUUGCAUCACUACCAGAUGGACCUGCGUUGUAUUAGCUAGUUGGUGAGGUAACGGCUCACCAAGGCGACGAUACAUAGCCGACCUGAGAGGGUGAUCGGCCACACUGGGACUGAGACACGGCCCAGACUCCUACGGGAGGCAGCAGUAGGGGAUCUUCGGCAAUGGACGGAAGUCUGAACGAGCAACGCCGCGUGAGUGAAGAAGGGUUUCGGAUCGUAAAGCUCUGUUGUAAGAGAAGAACGAGUGUGAGAGUGGAAAGUUCACACUGUGACGGUAUCUUACCAGAAAGGGACGGCUAACUACGUG
RNAcentral lists this ribosomal RNA (495 nucleotides) under uncultured bacterium. Its description in RNAcentral is "partial 16S ribosomal RNA". It matches the Rfam family "Bacterial small subunit ribosomal RNA", at positions 28 to 507 of the family's 1533-position model. The record is from RNAcentral.